UAACUUUGUAUUUCAAGCGAACCAGGAGAAACUUCUGUGUUGAUUGCUUUAUCUUUCGUGUGUGUUUUGUUUGCAAAAGUUUUUAUUAUCUGUGAAAACAAUUCAAACCCCCCUUUCUUGUUUUUCUCUACCUUCACUUACCUCAAAAUUUGAGCAAUGCAAUCAAAAUACAUUCAAGUACACAUUAUUUUAACUUCAUAUGAUCAUCCAUUUAUCAACUUCCAAGAUUCAUAACUUCUUCAAUUUUUAACAUUUGAGGUUGAUUCUUU
This 269-nucleotide long non-coding RNA is filed under the name Lathyrus oleraceus (garden pea). Its description in RNAcentral is "Pisum sativum (pea) long non-coding RNA (PSAT_LNC024088)". Lineage: Eukaryota; Viridiplantae; Streptophyta; Magnoliopsida; Fabales; Fabaceae. The record is from RNAcentral.